This is a long non-coding RNA of Xenia sp. Carnegie-2017, 391 nucleotides long. RefSeq lists it as uncharacterized. The transcript has 2 exons. The record is from RefSeq and is a predicted model, not a curated record. NCBI's taxonomy places the organism in Eukaryota, Metazoa, Cnidaria, Anthozoa, Malacalcyonacea, Xeniidae.
ACAGAAUCUCCUGAAGUGAACAGACAAACACCAUUGUAUAGUACCAAAUGGAUUACUAUCAAUGGAACAAAAUAUAAAGUAGGAGCUACUGUCCACAUUGGUUAUGAUGAUGUUGAAUUUCCCCAGUUUUGGGAAGUUAUUGGUAUUUAUAUCAUUAACCAAAAUGUUGCAAAUGCCAUGUUUGUUGUUUCAAGAAAACAGACUGUCAGGUUUUCUGAACAUUAUCAGGCUUAUGAAGUUGCUCAGUCAAAACAGAAGGAAAUUAAAAUUAAAUAUUUUAAAGAGUUAACCUCACAUUUGCCAUUUAACUUGAUAAAGCCAUUUGGGUGUAACACAAAAUACAUUUGCCAUAGAUAUGAAAUAGAUGUAGAAUAAAUUUUACUUUCCUGAA